RNAcentral lists this ribosomal RNA (1040 nucleotides) under Bacillus subtilis. Its description in RNAcentral is "bacterial SSU rRNA". It matches the Rfam family "Bacterial small subunit ribosomal RNA", at positions 105 to 1129 of the family's 1533-position model. Lineage: Bacteria; Bacillati; Bacillota; Bacilli; Caryophanales; Bacillaceae. The record is from RNAcentral.
GGUGAGUAACACGUGGGUAACCUGCCUGUAAGACUGGGAUAACUCCGGGAAACCGGGGCUAAUACCGGAUGCUUGUUUGAACCGCAUGGUUCAAACAUAAAAGGUGGCUUCGGCUACCACUUACAGAUGGACCCGCGGCGCAUUAGCUAGUUGGUGAGGUAAUGGCUCACCAAGGCGACGAUGCGUAGCCGACCUGAGAGGGUGAUCGGCCACACUGGGACUGAGACACGGCCCAGACUCCUACGGGAGGCAGCAGUAGGGAAUCUUCCGCAAUGGACGAAAGUCUGACGGAGCAACGCCGCGUGAGUGAUGAAGGUUUUCGGAUCGUAAAGCUCUGUUGUUAGGGAAGAACAAGUACCGUUCGAAUAGGGCGGUACCUUGACGGUACCUAACCAGAAAGCCACGGCUAACUACGUGCCAGCAGCCGCGGUAAUACGUAGGUGGCAAGCGUUGUCCGGAAUUAUUGGGCGUAAAGGGCUCGCAGGCGGUUUCUUAAGUCUGAUGUGAAAGCCCCCGGCUCAACCGGGGAGGGUCAUUGGAAACUGGGGAACUUGAGUGCAGAAGAGGAGAGUGGAAUUCCACGUGUAGCGGUGAAAUGCGUAGAGAUGUGGAGGAACACCAGUGGCGAAGGCGACUCUCUGGUCUGUAACUGACGCUGAGGAGCGAAAGCGUGGGGAGCGAACAGGAUUAGAUACCCUGGUAGUCCACGCCGUAAACGAUGAGUGCUAAGUGUUAGGGGGUUUCCGCCCCUUAGUGCUGCAGCUAACGCAUUAAGCACUCCGCCUGGGGAGUACGGUCGCAAGACUGAAACUCAAAGGAAUUGACGGGGGCCCGCACAAGCGGUGGAGCAUGUGGUUUAAUUCGAAGCAACGCGAAGAACCUUACCAGGUCUUGACAUCCUCUGACAAUCCUAGAGAUAGGACGUCCCCUUCGCGGGCAGAGUGACAGGUGGUGCAUGGUUGUCGUCAGCUCGUGUCGUGAGAUGUUGGGUUAAGUCCCGCAACGAACGCAACCCUUGAUCUUAGUUGCCAGCAUUCAGU